Homo sapiens (human) is the source of this 3292-nucleotide long non-coding RNA. Ensembl annotates it as sciatic injury induced lincRNA upregulator of SOX11. Its record names the gene SILC1. The record is from Ensembl. Lineage: Eukaryota; Metazoa; Chordata; Mammalia; Primates; Hominidae.
UUUUGAGGUUGCACUGUUGCCCCAGGACAUCGUAUGAGUAGAGGGUUAACCACCUUAGCCAAGAGUAAUUUGGUCUGGUGAGUUCUCCACCUUCAGGACAAAAGCAUUUCAGAACCAUCCUAACAAUAGUGUUCCCAUAAGUAACCAGACACUGUUUGUAUCCAUAGCAACAUGGCUCCAUGAGCCCUGCUUCCGAGGAGCAGCUGCCCUUCCUGGGCACUGUCAAGAGUUGUUCUUCUCUGACAUCCACACCCUUCUUUACCUGGCACAUACCCCAGCCCAGGCACCAGGCAUCCAGGGCCUUCUAUGGCUGUCCGGAUGCAUUCCUUCACAGCUGGAAUGUGGUUGGCUUGUUGACUUCUGUUCCCAGCAUAGUGAACAGUGGGCACUAUAAGCCAGUAGGCACUCAAUUGAUGAUUCUUCAAUGAAAUAAUUGAUGCCACUUUUAGGUCAGUCUUUCUUGUACGUUACACCUUCUGUUGUUCAACAGAGCCCCACAAUAUCCCAGAACUUGGAGGUCUUAUCUCGGGGUUUCUCAGAUGUUGGAGUACCCAGGUAUCACCUGCUGAGCCAGUUUCCCUGGCCUCACCUGCAGGGGCUCUGAGUCAGUAAAUCUGGGGCAGGCCCAGUACUUUGCAUGUGAGCACAGACCCAGGUGUUUCUGAACCUGGUGGUCCAGGGACUGCUGCAGGAAGGAGCCAAUAGGACUGCAUGCCUUAGAGGCAGUGGGUCUCAUCCAUCCCUAUCUAUGGCACUGACUACAGGCCAUGUCCAGGCCACAUGGGCACAUGCUAUUAUAAUUAUUUUGUGUGAUGGAUGAGUUACAGAACUGGAGCCCUAAGACCUGAGUUCUAGUUUCAGCUCUGCCAGUUGCUGGCUGAUUGAAACUGAACAAGCCACCUGCCUUCCCUGAGACUGUCUCUUCUCCUGUGAAAUUAGGGCAUUAGAAUACAUGAAGACCCCUUUAUGUCCUUAAUAACCUGUAAGUUUAAGAACCUAGGGAAUCUCCAUGCUGGUGGCUGCGGUUAUAUCCCCUUAUCCUCAACUCGUGAAGAAAGAGUCAAAAAUGGCAGCAGGGUUGUGUCAACUGCUCUCCUCAGCAGCUAUCAUAAGGGAAUUGCCUUUGUCAUUUUCCCCAGCCAUCACCACACUCCCACACGGCCACCAUCACCUAAACCAUCUGGCAGUGGGGGUUACCUCCUAAAUCUAAGACGCAGAGACCCACCGCAGGCCUUUCUUUCUGGCUGCCCUCCACUCCCACCCAGAGGCUCAGUUUUGCUGGGCUGCACACCUCCGAGGACUCAGUUCUUUGUGUUUCAUGUUGUUUCAUAUCCACUAGUGUUACAGAAACUGCUGCAAACCAGGGACCAAAAGUCCAUAGGUUCUAAUUCUAGCUGUGACACUAGUGAGAUGAGUGACUGCUGGCAAGUUACUUUAUCUAUCUGACCUCACCUCCCAUGUACAAAAUUGGGUCUGUAUGCACAUUUGUGGUUCUAAAUCCUGGAGUCCAAAUCAGAGUUCUUUGUGCAAAAUAUACGUAGCUAGGUCCUAACCUCGGAGAUCCUGACUCAGUCUGGGGAAAGGCGCAGAUCUUGGGGAGAAAACAACUCUCUAGAAGAGUCUCGCCUUCAGUGAGUGACAAGAUCUCUCCUGUCUCUCGGUUCACAAUGUUACCCUAACUAAUCCAUCCUCUGAUGUCACCUGCUAACAACUUCCCCUGUGGCAUCAAACCAGUAGCCCAUUUGCAGCUAGUACAAACACUUCUUUACAUUUAAGUUUUGUUUACGAGAUUUAGCCUACAAUCAUAGAGGCUGCCAGCUGGGUUUCAAAUGUGUAUGUUCCAUUGCUAAUAGGAAAAACUGCAUCUAUUAGAAAAAUUCUCUCUGGGAGCUGAGCACAGAGGCAGGCCUUGUAUUGCAAACAUUUGAAAAGCCAUAAGCAGGUAUUCUGGACUGUGUUUUAGAUCACCUGAGAACAUUUCUUGAACACUAGUAUUUGCUUAGAGUGACAAACCUAUUAAGUGGUUCUUUCAGGUAAGUUUGCAUCCAAGCAAUGUCGUCUGAAUCGCAGGAGGAAGUCAGGAGUUGUGUCUGGCUUUCUGGCCAUACAAAUGGCAUAUGGGAAAGUCAUUGUAUAUUAUUAAUAUCCUUUGAUGUAUAUUAUUAUGACUUUCUCACGGUAGUAAUGUUGUUGGUUUUUAUUAAUGUUAUUUUUAUAGCAAUGCUAAUAUUAUGAGCUAAAAGUUUCUGAGCAUCUGCUGGGUGCCAAAAAUUCUUAUAAAUGCUUUACAUGCAUUAGCUCCUAACAACACUUUGAAGUAAUUCUUAUUGUCCUUACUUGACAUAUACAGGAAUAAAAACCUGACCAUUAGACCGAGCGUGGUGGCUCACGCCUGUAAUCCCAACACUUUGGGAGGCCGAGGCAGGCGGAUCACCUGAGGUCAGGAGUUUGAGACCAGCCUGGCCACCAUGGUGAGACCCCGUCUCUACUAAAAACACACAAAAAAUUAGCCGGGCGUGGUGGUGGGUACUUGUAAUCUCAGCUACCCGGGAGGCUAAUGCAGGAGAAUCGCUUGAACCCAGGAGGCGGAGGUUGCAGUGAGCCAAGAUUGCGCCAUUGCACUCCAGCCUGGGCAACAAGAGCAAAACUCUUUCAAAUAAACAAACAAAACCUAAGCAUUUGAGGGGUUUGGCCUGGGCAGUGGAGCUUGUGAGCUAUAUGAGCUGGAAUCUGAGUCAAGGCUGGGCUGGUGAAAGGAGUUCACUCAAGUUCCCAAGGUAUUCUGUCCUCCAGGACUCUGAAUCACCUGGGAGGAGAAGGAAUUGUGGCGGGCCUAACACCUUUUCUUUCCCAAACACCAAGAGCAGGUUCUUUCUGUUACAUCCAUUGAGGUCACAUUCUUGAAGUGCAUUUUGAGGAAGUCAUUAUUUUCGCUACAGCAGGGACUGAUGUAUCAGUCUAUUAGAAUUCAGAAAAAAGUAAGCAAACAAAAAACGUGUUGGAAUUAUUCUCUUCUAGCAUUUUGAAAUGUACAAUGGUUAAUGUUAACUAUAGCCACCAUGAUGUAUUGAAGACCAGGUCUUAUUCUUUUUAUCUAACUGUACAUUUGUACCCAUUAACCUAAUGCUCAUAGCAUCAAGAAAAGAUCAAUAUUUAAGGUGACAAAUAUCCCAAUUAUGCUGAUUUGAUUAUAUGAAUGUGUUGAAUUAUCAUAUGUACUCCCAAAAUAUGCACAUCUAAGAUGUAUCAAUAAAAAUAAAGACAAAAAUUAAAGCUUUUACAGUAGAAAAAA